This 1512-nucleotide ribosomal RNA is filed under the name Salmonella enterica. RNAcentral's name for it is "partial 23S ribosomal RNA". It matches the Rfam family "Bacterial large subunit ribosomal RNA", at positions 1 to 1547 of the family's 2925-position model. Lineage: Bacteria; Pseudomonadati; Pseudomonadota; Gammaproteobacteria; Enterobacterales; Enterobacteriaceae. The record is from RNAcentral.
GGGUUGUGAGGUUAAGCGACUAAGCGUACACGGUGGAUGCCCUGGCAGUCAGAGGCGAUGAAGGGCGUGCUAAUCUGCGAUAAGCGCCGGUAAGGUGAUAUGAACCGUUAUAACCGGCGAUACCCGAAUGGGGAAACCCAGUGUGACUCGUCACACUAUCAUUAACUGAAUCCAUAGGUUAAUGAGGCGAACCGGGGGAACUGAAACAUCUAAGUACCCCGAGGAAAAGAAAUCAACCGAGAUUCCCCCAGUAGCGGCGAGCGAACGGGGAGGAGCCCAGAGCCUGAAUCAGCAUGUGUGUUAGUGGAAGCGUCUGGAAAGGCGCGCGAUACAGGGUGACAGCCCCGUACACAAAAGCGCAUGUGCUGUGAGCUCGAUGAGUAGGGCGGGACACGUGGUAUCCUGUCUGAAUAUGGGGGGACCAUCCUCCAAGGCUAAAUACUCCUGACUGACCGAUAGUGAACCAGUACCGUGAGGGAAAGGCGAAAAGAACCCCGGCGAGGGGAGUGAAAAAGAACCUGAAACCGUGUACGUACAAGCAGUGGGAGCACCCUUUGGGGUGUGACUGCGUACCUUUUGUAUAAUGGGUCAGCGACUUAUAUUCUGUAGCAAGGUUAACCGAAUAGGGGAGCCGGAGGGAAACCGAGUCUUAACCGGGCGUUAAGUUGCAGGGUAUAGACCCGAAACCCGGUGAUCUAGCCAUGGGCAGGUUGAAGGUUGGGUAACACUAACUGGAGGACCGAACCGACUAAUGUUGAAAAAUUAGCGGAUGACCUGUGGCUGGGGGUGAAAGGCCAAUCAAACCGGGAGAUAGCUGGUUCUCCCCGAAAGCUAUUUAGGUAGCGCCUCGUGAAUUCAUCUCCGGGGGUAGAGCACUGUUUCGGCUAGGGGGCCAUCCCGGCUUACCAACCCGAUGCAAACUGCGAAUACCGGAGAAUGUUAUCACGGGAGACACACGGCGGGUGCUAACGUCCGUCGUGAAGAGGGAAACAACCCAGACCGCCAGCUAAGGUCCCAAAGUCAUGGUUAAGUGGGAAACGAUGUGGGAAGGCCCAGACAGCCAGGAUGUUGGCUUAGAAGCAGCCAUCAUUUAAAGAAAGCGUAAUAGCUCACUGGUCGAGUCGGCCUGCGCGGAAGAUGUAACGGGGCUAAACCAUGCACCGAAGCUGCGGCAGCGACGCUGAUGCGUUGUUGGGUAGGGGAGCGUUCUGUAAGCCUGCGAAGGUGGCCUGUGAGGGUUGCUGGAGGUAUCAGAAGUGCGAAUGCUGACAUAAGUAACGAUAAAGCGGGUGAAAAGCCCGCUCGCCGGAAGACCAAGGGUUCCUGUCCAACGUUAAUCGGGGCAGGGUGAGUCGACCCCUAAGGCGAGGCCGAAAGGCGUAGUCGAUGGGAAACGGGUUAAUAUUCCCGUACUUGGUGUUACUGCGAAGGGGGGACGGAGAAGGCUAUGUUGGCCGGGCGACGGUUGUCCCGGUUUAAGCGUGUAGGUGUGUGUUCCAGGUAAAUCCGGUU